AGAGCAGAUCCAAAUGCAGCGAUCGAUAAUCAUACACUUACAAGUUGUCUCUCCUGCUACAGCAGUGCUUAAGUAAUCAUCACCAAAAUGCCCCGGACCCAUCUCUCCCAGCACAUAUUUCUUGUACAUUCCCGGAGCUCCUGUUGAGUUCAGUGAGAGCUCCAGGCGCCCAGGGUGGCAGGGCAGUGGCACACGGAGUACUCACUGAUUUAUAUUUGCAUGGCUUUCGAGCUAAUCAGCAAAAAGAGCUCAUCGAUCUUCUCUUCCCUAGGAAGUUGGACCACAUUAUUAUUCUUAUUUCUUGGGUGAGGAAAACUGAGGGAAAGGAGCUUCCCAAAGUGAGGAGACUGGAAAGAAAGAAAGAAAGAAAGAAAGAAAGCAAGAAAGCUGCUUCCUGAUGACCCCAAAGUAAUGUGUGACAUCUGACCUUCUACCUGAUGGCACUGAGCAUUUUGAUGACUCCACAAAGACGGCAUUUUAAGGAGAUGCUCACACCAGUGGGAAACAUUGCCACUCCAUUACAAAAGACCAAGUCCCUGAAGGACCAAGGCAGGUCAAGGGUUGGAUGGGAUUGAAGUUGGAUUGGGGCCUCCUGAGGACAUCAGCUUUGGCAAUCUUUUGUCUCCUGGAAGAUUGUCGUGAGCGGGGAGGAGAAAUUGGGGCUUGCUGGUGACACUCACAGGGCAGUUUGGAGGCCAGGUAAGCAUUACACAGCAAUAAAAAAAUUGUGUAAAUGUGCAACUUCUCUCAUAUAAUUUCAAGGAAU
Lynx canadensis (Canada lynx) is the source of this 766-nucleotide long non-coding RNA. RefSeq lists it as uncharacterized. The transcript has 3 exons. Lineage: Eukaryota; Metazoa; Chordata; Mammalia; Carnivora; Felidae. The record is from RefSeq and is a predicted model, not a curated record.